UGGCGGACGGGUGAGUAAUGUCUGGGAAACUGCCUGAUGGAGGGGGAUAACUACUGGAAACGGUAGCUAAUACCGCAUAACGUCGCAAGACCAAAGAGGGGACCUUCGGGCCCCUUGCCAUCGGAUGUGCCCAGAUGGGAUUAGCUAGUAGGUGGGGUAACGGCUCACCUAGGCGACGAUCCCUAGCUGGUCUGAGAGGAUGACCAGCCACACUGGAACUGAGACACGGUCCAG
RNAcentral lists this ribosomal RNA (234 nucleotides) under uncultured bacterium. RNAcentral describes it as "partial 16S ribosomal RNA". It matches the Rfam family "Bacterial small subunit ribosomal RNA", at positions 96 to 334 of the family's 1533-position model. The record is from RNAcentral.